GAUGAACGCUGGCGGCGUGCCUAAUACAUGCAAGUCGAGCGAACGGAUGAGAAGCUUGCUUCUCUGAUGUUAGCGGCGGACGGGUGAGUAACACGUGGAUAACCUACCUAUAAGACUGGGAUAACUUCGGGAAACCGGAGCUAAUACCGGAUAAUAUUUUGAACCGCAUGGUUCAAAAGUGAAAGACGGUCUUGCUGUCACUUAUAGAUGGAUCCGCGCUGCAUUAGCUAGUUGGUAAGGUAACGGCUUACCAAGGCAACGAUGCAUAGCCGACCUGAGAGGGUGAUCGGCCACACUGGAACUGAGACACGGUCCAGACUCCUACGGGAGGCAGCAGUAGGGAAUCUUCCGCAAUGGGCGAAAGCCUGACGGAGCAACGCCGCGUGAGUGAUGAAGGUCUUCGGAUCGUAAAACUCUGUUAUUAGGGAAGAACAUAUGUGUAAGUAACUGUGCACAUCUUGACGGUACCUAAUCAGAAAGCCACGGCUAACUACAUG
This 497-nucleotide ribosomal RNA is filed under the name uncultured bacterium. Its description in RNAcentral is "partial 16S ribosomal RNA". It matches the Rfam family "Bacterial small subunit ribosomal RNA", at positions 28 to 507 of the family's 1533-position model. The record is from RNAcentral.